This 834-nucleotide ribosomal RNA is filed under the name uncultured bacterium. RNAcentral describes it as "bacterial SSU rRNA". It matches the Rfam family "Bacterial small subunit ribosomal RNA", at positions 8 to 818 of the family's 1533-position model. The record is from RNAcentral.
AGAGUUUGAUCAUGGCUCAGAACGAACGCUGGCGGCGUGCUUAACACAUGCAAGUCGAACGCGAAAGGGACUUCGGUCCCGAGUAGAGUGGCGCACGGGUGAGUAACGCGUAAGUAAUCUACCCCUGUAUCUGGAAUAACCCACCGAAAGGUGAGCUAAUACCGGAUACGUUUAUCUUGAUGCGAAUGAUGAUAAAGAAAGGUGGCCUCUUCAUGAAAGCUACCGUACAGGGACGAGCUUGCGUACCAUUAGCUGGUUGGUAGGGUAAUGGCCUACCAAGGCGACGAUGGUUAGCGGGUCUGAGAGGAUGAUCCGCCACACUGGAACUGAAACACGGACCAGACUCCUACGGGAGGCAGCAGUGAGGAAUAUUGCGCAAUGGGGGCAACCCUGACGCAGCGACGCCGCGUGGACGAUGAAGGCCCUUGGGUCGUAAAAUCCUGUCAGAUGGAAAGAAAUGUACAGGUGUUAAUAUCGCCUGUAUUUGACGGUACCAUCAAAGGAAGCACCGGCUAACUCCGUGCCAGCAGCCGCGGUAAUACGGAGGGUGCGAGCGUUGUUCGGAAUUACUGGGCGUAAAGCGCGCGUAGGCGGUUUGCUAAGUCAGAUGUGAAAGCCCUCGGCUUAACCGGGGACGUGCAUUUGAAACUGGCAGACUUGAGUACUGGAGGGGGUGGUGGAAUUCCCGGUGUAGAGGUGAAAUUCGUAGAUAUCGGGAGGAAUACCGGUGGCGAAGGCGACCACCUGGCCAGAUACUGACGCUGAGGUGCGAAAGCGUGGGGAGCAAACAGGAUUAGAUACCCUGGUAGUCCACGCCGUAAACGAUGAGAACUA